Molecule: ribosomal RNA, 266 nt
Filed under: uncultured bacterium
Lineage: Bacteria
Description: partial 16S ribosomal RNA
Rfam family: Bacterial small subunit ribosomal RNA
Source: RNAcentral
UACGAAGGGGGGCUAGCGUUGCUCGGAAUCACUGGGCGUAAAGCGCACGUAGGCGGAUUGUCAAGUCAGGGGUGAAAUCCUGGAGCUCAACUCCAGAACUGCCUUUGAUACUGGCGACCUUGAGUCCGGGAGAGGUGAGUGGAACUGCGAGUGUAGAGGUGAAAUUCGUAGAUAUUCGCAAGAACACCAGUGGCGAAGGCGGCUCACUGGCCCGGUACUGACGCUGAGGUGCGAAAGCGUGGGGAGCAAACAGGGAUUAAGAAACC